ACGGAGGAUGCGAGCGUUAUCCGGAUUUAUUGGGUUUAAAGGGUGCGCAGGCGGGACGUCAAGUCAGCGGUAAAAUUACGGGGCUCAACCCCGUACCGCCGUUGAAACUGACGACCUAGAGUGGGCGAGAAGUACGCGGAAUGCGUGGUGUAGCGGUGAAAUGCAUAGAUAUCACGCAGAACCCCGAUUGCGAAGGCAGCGUACCGGCGCCCGACUGACGCUCAGGCACGAAAGCGCGGGUAUCAAACAGGAUUAGAUACCCUGGUGGUCCGCGCAGUAAACGAUGAAUGCUAGCUGUCCGCGGGAAAUGCCCUGUGGGUGGCACAGCGAAAGCGUUAAGCAUUCCACCUGGGGAGUACGCCGGCAACGGUG
This 372-nucleotide ribosomal RNA is filed under the name uncultured bacterium. Its description in RNAcentral is "bacterial SSU rRNA". It matches the Rfam family "Bacterial small subunit ribosomal RNA", at positions 525 to 896 of the family's 1533-position model. The record is from RNAcentral.